This 468-nucleotide ribosomal RNA is filed under the name uncultured bacterium. RNAcentral describes it as "partial 16S ribosomal RNA". It matches the Rfam family "Bacterial small subunit ribosomal RNA", at positions 28 to 507 of the family's 1533-position model. The record is from RNAcentral.
GACGAACGCUGGCGGCGUGCUUAACACAUGCAAGUCGAACGGAAAGGCCCUGCUUUUGUGGGGUGCUCGAGUGGCGAAAGGGUGAGUAACACGUGAGUAACCUGCCCUUGACUUUGGGAUAACUUCAGGAAACUGGGGAUAAUACCGGAUAGGAGCUCCUGCUGCAUGGUGGGGGUUGGAAAGUUUCGGCGGUUGGGGAUGGACUCGCGGCUUAUCAGCUUGUUGGUGGGGUAGUGGCUUACCAAGGCUUUGACGGGUAGCCGGCCUGAGAGGGUGACCGGCCACAUUGGGACUGAGAUACGGCCCAGACUCCUACGGGAGGCAGCAGUGGGGAAUAUUGCACAAUGGGCGGAAGCCUGAUGCAGCAACGCCGCGUGCGUGAUGACGGCCUUCGGGUUGUAAACCGCUUUCGCCUGUGACGAAGCGUGAGUGACGGUAAUGGGUAAAGAAGCACCGGCUAACUACGUG